GACGAACGCUGGCGGCGUGCUUAACACAUGCAAGUCGAACAGAAAGGCCCUGCUUUUGUGGGGUGCUCGAGUGGCGAACGGGUGAGUAACACGUGAGUAACCUGCCCUUGACUUUGGGAUAACUUCAGGAAACUGGGGCUAAUACCGGAUAGGAGCUCCUGCUGCAUGGUGGGGGUUGGAAAGUUUCGGCGGUUGGGGAUGGACUCGCGGCUUAUCAGCUUGUUGGUGGGGUAGUGGCUUACCAAGGCUUUGACGGGUAGCCGGCCUGAGAGGGUGACCGGCCACAUUGGGACUGAGAUACGGCCCAGACUCCUACGGGAGGCAGCAGUGGGGAAUAUUGCACAAUGUGCGGAAGCCUGAUGCAGCAACGCCGCGUGCGGGAUGACGGCCUUCGGGUUGUAAACCGCUUUCGCCUGUGACGAAGCGUGAGUGACGGUAAUGGGUAAAGAAGCACCGGCUAACUACGUG
RNAcentral lists this ribosomal RNA (468 nucleotides) under uncultured bacterium. Its description in RNAcentral is "partial 16S ribosomal RNA". It matches the Rfam family "Bacterial small subunit ribosomal RNA", at positions 28 to 507 of the family's 1533-position model. The record is from RNAcentral.